CGCGGAGUGGCGCAGUCCGGCAGCGCGCGUGGCUCAUAAUCACGAGGUCAGGGGUUCAAAUCCCCUCUCCGCAACCA
Molecule: transfer RNA, 77 nt
Filed under: Roseibium sp. RKSG952
Lineage: Bacteria; Pseudomonadati; Pseudomonadota; Alphaproteobacteria; Hyphomicrobiales; Stappiaceae
Description: tRNA-Met
Rfam family: tRNA
About the family: Transfer RNA (tRNA) molecules are approximately 80 nucleotides in length. Their secondary structure includes four short double-helical elements and three loops (D, anti-codon, and T loops).
Source: RNAcentral